Molecule: microRNA precursor, 89 nt
Filed under: Marmota monax (woodchuck)
Lineage: Eukaryota; Metazoa; Chordata; Mammalia; Rodentia; Sciuridae
Source: RNAcentral
GUGAGUGUGCACCUCUCUCUCUCUCUCUCUCUCUCUCUGAGAGAGAGAGAGAGAGAGAGAGAGAGAGAGAGAGAGAGUUUAUCUAUCUA